RNAcentral lists this ribosomal RNA (434 nucleotides) under uncultured Clostridium sp. Its description in RNAcentral is "partial 16S ribosomal RNA". It matches the Rfam family "Bacterial small subunit ribosomal RNA", at positions 341 to 792 of the family's 1533-position model. Lineage: Bacteria; Bacillati; Bacillota; Clostridia; Eubacteriales; Clostridiaceae. The record is from RNAcentral.
ACGGAAGGCAGCAGUGGGGAAUAUUGCACAAUGGGGGAAACCCUGAUGCAGCGACGCCGCGUGAGUGAAGAAGUAUUUCGGUAUGUAAAGCUCUAUCAGCAGGGAAGAAAAUGACGGUACCUGACUAAGAAGCCCCGGCUAACUACGUGCCAGCAGCCGCGGUAAUACGUAGGGGGCAAGCGUUAUCCGGAUUUACUGGGUGUAAAGGGAGCGUAGACGGCUUUGCAAGUCUGAUGUGAAAGGCAGGGGCUCAACUCCUGGACUGCAUUGGAAACUGUAGGGCCGGAGUGUCGGAGAGGUAAGCGGAAUUCCUAGUGUAGCGGUGAAAUGCGUAGAUAUUAGGAGGAACACCAGUGGCGAAGGCGGCUUACUGGACGAUAACUGACGUUGAGGCUCGAAAGCGUGGGGAGCAAACAGGAUUAGAUACCCUGGUA